AGAGUUUGAUCCUGGCUCAGGAUGAACGCUGGCGGCGUGCUUAACACAUGCAAGUCGAACGAUGAAAGCGGGAGCUUGCUCCUGCUGGAUUAGUGGCGAACGGGUGAGUAACACGUGAGUAACCUGCCCUUGACUCUGGGAUAAGCACUGGAAACGGUGUCUAAUACCGGAUACGAACUUCGAAGGCAUCUUCAGGAGUUGGAAAGAAUUUUGGUCAAGGAUGGACUCGCGGCCUAUCAGCUAGUUGGUGAGGUAACGGCCCACCAAGGCGACGACGGGUAGCCGGCCUGAGAGGGUGAUCGGCCACACUGGGACUGAGACACGGCCCAGACUCCUACGGGAGGCAGCAGUGGGGAAUAUUGCACAAUGGGCGCAAGCCUGAUGCAGCAACGCCGCGUGAGGGACGACGGCCUUCGGGUUGUAAACCUCUUUUAGUAGGGAAGAAGCGAAAGUGACGGUACCUGCAGAAAAAGCACCGGCUAACUACGUGCCAGCAGCCGCGGUAAUACGUAGGGUGCAAGCGUUAUCCGGAAUUAUUGGGCGUAAAGAGCUCGUAGGCGGUCUGUCGCGUCUGCUGUGAAAACUGGGGGCUCAACCCCCAGCCUGCAGUGGGUACGGGCAGACUAGAGUGCGGUAGGGGAGAUUGGAAUUCCUGGUGUAGCGGUGGAAUGCGCAGAUAUCAGGAGGAACACCGAUGGCGAAGGCAGAUCUCUGGGCCGUAACUGACGCUGAGGAGCGAAAGCAUGGGGAGCGAACAGGAUUAGAUACCCUAGUAGUCC
Molecule: ribosomal RNA, 779 nt
Filed under: uncultured bacterium
Lineage: Bacteria
Description: bacterial SSU rRNA
Rfam family: Bacterial small subunit ribosomal RNA
Source: RNAcentral